UACGUAGGGGGCGAGCGUUGUCCGGAAUUAUUGGGCGUAAAGCGCGUGUAGGCGGCUAUGUAAGUCGGGCGUGAAAUCCCACGGCUCAACCGUGGAAGUGCACCCGAAACUGCGUAGCUAGAGUCCUGGAGAGGAAGGUGGAAUGCUUGGUGUAGAGGUGAAAUUCGUAGAUAUCAAGCGGAACACCGGUGGCGAAGGCGGCCUUCUGGACAGUGACUGACGCUGAGACGCGAAAGCGUGGGGAGCAAACAGG
RNAcentral lists this ribosomal RNA (253 nucleotides) under uncultured bacterium. RNAcentral describes it as "partial 16S ribosomal RNA". It matches the Rfam family "Bacterial small subunit ribosomal RNA", at positions 524 to 776 of the family's 1533-position model. The record is from RNAcentral.